UCAGAGCAGGAAGCCAGGCCACAGUUCAGGGGCACAGAGGCCAAGCCCUGCUCCUUCAGGGAGACACAGAAAUGGCUAAGGCAAGGCUAGUCAUAUAUCAGAAGUAAGCGGAGGUUAUAAACCAUAAAACAACCUGGCAAGUGUCAUGGUGCUGAGGUGGCUAAAGUCUGACCAUGUCCACAACUCAUGCACAUCCAGGCCCAGCUAAGAGAACUCAGGAGCGAUAAACAGCCACCAGAAGGAGCCACCAUCUAUGCCCAGAGGAAGACUGUGCCGUCAGCAGCCAUGUGAACGCCUACUGUCUCAACGGCGCCUGCAAAGGCUGAGGGUCUCAAGAGGCAGCCUGGAGUUGUAAGUGCCCCCUGUCCCCUCUCUGCUCACACCAGCCGGCCCUUAACUCCCAGCACACUCUUCUCCACGGGGGUGCCUGUCUGGAUUCCUGUCUCACACUCAACCUCUCUCUCACCCUCAGUCUUCAUGAGCUGAGGGCUAGCAAGCCCCUACAGAGAGUGUAUCUGUGACCAGCUCCCUGGGGCCUCCCGGGACUUCAGGACUUCAGGAAAUGCUAAAUCCCCCAGGCACUGCAGCUGCUAUCUCUGUGUCUUCCUCAGUCAGCUCUCACAAUUGUUUCUGUGCUCAGAGAUUAUACACAAAGAGUUGAAUGGCCUGUCUGAAUUCUGAAUUCAUAAAACAGCCUCCCUAAGCAUCCAGAGAAUGACGGGUCUCUAGGAAGUCGGAAACCUUGGUUAAAGCGCAUCCACCCAAUGAAGGCACCUGAAUUACCCCACAGUGCAAGACAAGUCCUCCCCUCCCCCCCAUCACACUAUGGCCUUAAAGCAGGCUCCCUUAGCCUUCCAGUCAGUUUGAUAAUUUCUCUCUCUCUCCUUCGGACCUGCCACAUCUCUCUGGUGUUAAAUAAUUAGUCUACAGACUCACGGAACAAUCUUUAUUGUCUGUGCCUUCUACUGUAUCAGAGACCAGGCAAGAACAAAAGCUGGCUUAAAUGAUUUUGUUGAAGAUAAUUACUUACUACACUGACAAACUAAGAUUUAAACUAGUUGGGGUUUUAACUGAGAUAUAUUUGAAUACACAAACAUCAUUGAAUUUUGUAAGUAUUGAA
Myodes glareolus (Bank vole) is the source of this 1120-nucleotide non-coding RNA. The record is from RefSeq and is a predicted model, not a curated record. NCBI's taxonomy places the organism in Eukaryota, Metazoa, Chordata, Mammalia, Rodentia, Cricetidae.